GAUGAACGCUGGCGGCGUGCCUAAUACAUGCAAGUCGAGCGAACAGACGAGGAGCUUGCUCCUCUGACGUUAGCGGCGGACGGGUGAGUAACACGUGGAUAACCUACCUAUAAGACUGGGAUAACUUCGGGAAACCGGAGCUAAUACCGGAUAAUAUAUUGAACCGCAUGGUUCAAUAGUGAAAGACGGUUUUGCUGUCACUUAUAGAUGGAUCCGCGCUGCAUUAGCUAGUUGGUAAGGUAACGGCUUACCAAGGCGACGAUGCGUAGCCGACCUGAGAGGGUGAUCGGCCACACUGGAACUGAGACACGGUCCAGACUCCUACGGGAGGCAGCAGUAGGGAAUCUUCCGCAAAGGGCGAAAGCCUGACGGAGCAACGCCGCGUGAGUGAUGAAGGUCUUCGGAUCGUAAAACUCUGUUAUUAGGGAAGAACAAAUGUGUAAGUAACUAUGCACGUCUUGACGGUACCUAAUCAGAAAGCCACGGCUAACUACGUG
RNAcentral lists this ribosomal RNA (497 nucleotides) under uncultured bacterium. RNAcentral describes it as "partial 16S ribosomal RNA". It matches the Rfam family "Bacterial small subunit ribosomal RNA", at positions 28 to 507 of the family's 1533-position model. The record is from RNAcentral.